AGCGAACGCUGGCGGUAGGCCUAACACAUGCAAGUCGAACGGCAGCACAGUAAGAGCUUGCUCUUACGGGUGGCGAGUGGCGGACGGGUGAGGAAUACAUCGGAAUCUACUUUUUCGUGGGGGAUAACGUAGGGAAACUUACGCUAAUACCGCAUACGACCUACGGGUGAAAGCAGGGGAUCUUCGGACCUUGCGCGAUUGAAUGAGCCGAUGUCGGAUUAGCUAGUUGGCGGGGUAAAGGCCCACCAAGGCGACGAUCCGUAGCUGGUCUGAGAGGAUGGUCAGCCACACUGGAACUGAGACACGGUCCAGACUACUACGGGAGGCAGCAGUGGGGAAUAUUGGACAAUGGGCGCAAGCCUGAUCCAGCCGUACCGCGUGGGUGAAGAAGGCGUUCGGGUUGUAAAGCCCUUUUGUUGGGAGAGAAAAGCAGCAGGUUAAUACGCCGCUGUUCUGACGGUACCCAAAGAAUAAGCACCGGCUAACUUCGUG
Molecule: ribosomal RNA, 492 nt
Filed under: uncultured bacterium
Lineage: Bacteria
Description: partial 16S ribosomal RNA
Rfam family: Bacterial small subunit ribosomal RNA
Source: RNAcentral